RNAcentral lists this ribosomal RNA (913 nucleotides) under uncultured archaeon. RNAcentral describes it as "bacterial SSU rRNA". It matches the Rfam family "Archaeal small subunit ribosomal RNA", at positions 1 to 922 of the family's 1478-position model. The record is from RNAcentral.
UUCCGGUUGAUCCUGCCGGACCUGACUGCUAUCGGAUUGAUACUAAGCCAUGCGAGUUUUUGUAGCAAUACAAGGCAUACGGCUCAGUAACACGUAGUCAAUCUAACCUAUGGACGAGGAUAACCUCGGGAAACUGAGAAUAAUACUCGAUAGAUCAUUAUGCCUGGAACGGUUUAUGGUUAAAAUGAAUUUCGCCAUAGGAUGGGACUGCGGUCUAUCAGCUUGUUGGUGAUGUAAUGGACCACCAAGGCUAUAACAGAUACGGGCUCUGAGAGGAGAAGCCCGGAGAUGGGUACUGAAACACGGACCCAGGCCCUAUGGGGCGCAGCAGGCGAGAAAACUUUGCAAUGUGCGAAAGCACGACAAGGUUAAUCCGAGUGAUUCCUGCUAAAGGAAUCUUUUGUUUGUCAUAAAACCACUAAUGAAUAAGGGGUGGGCAAGUUCUGGUGUCAGCCGCCGCGGUAAAACCAGCACCUCAAGUGGUCAGGAUGAUUAUUGGGCCUAAAGCAUCCGUAGCCGGCUUUGUAAGUUUUCGGUUAAAUCUAUAUGCUCAACAUAUAGGCCGCCGGGAAUACUGCAAAGCUAGGGAGUGGGAGAGGUAGACGGUACUCCGUAGGAAGGGGUAAAAUCCUUUGAUCUAUGGAUGACCACCUGUGGCGAAGGCGGUCUACCAGAACACGUUCGACGGUGAGGGAUGAAAGCUGGGGGAGCAAACCGGAUUAGAUACCCGGGUAGUCCCAGCUGUAAACUAUGCAAACUCAGUGAUGCAUUGGCUUGUGGCCAGUGCAGUGCCGCAGAGAAGUCGUUAAGUUUGCCGCCUGGGAAGUACGUACGCAAGUAUGAAACUUAAAGGAAUUGGCGGGGGAGCACCACAAGGGGUGAAGCCUGCGGUUCAAUUGGAGUCAACGCCGGG